CCUAACACAUGCAAGUCGAACGGUAACAGGAAGAAGCUUGCUUCUUUGCUGACGAGUGGCGGACGGGUGAGUAAUGUCUGGGAAACUGCCUGAUGGAGGGGGAUAACUACUGGAAACGGUAGCUAAUACCGCAUAACGUCGCAAGACCAAAGAGGGGGACCUUCGGGCCUCUUGCCAUCGGAUGUGCCCAGAUGGGAUUAGCUAGUAGGUGGGGUAACGGCUCACCUAGGCGACGAUCCCUAGCUGGUCUGAGAGGAUGACCAGCCACACUGGAACUGAGACACGGUCCAGACUCCUACGGGAGGCAGCAGUGGGGAAUAUUGCACAAUGGGCGCAAGCCUGAUGCAGCCAUGCCGCGUGUAUGAAGAAGGCCUUCGGGUUGUAAAGUACUUUCAGCGGGGAGGAAGGGAGUAAAGUUAAUACCUUUGCUCAUUGACGUUACCCGCAGAAGAAGCACCGGCUAACUCCGUGCCAGCAGCCGCGGUAAUACGGAGGGUGCAAGCGUUAAUCGGAAUUACUGGGCGUAAAGCGCACGCAGGCGGUUUGUUAAGUCAGAUGUGAAAUCCCCGGGCUCAACCUGGGAACUGCAUCUGAUACUGGCAAGCUUGAGUCUCGUAGAGGGGGGUAGAAUUCCAGGUGUAGCGGUGAAAUGCGUAGAGAUCUGGAGGAAUACCGGUG
Molecule: ribosomal RNA, 678 nt
Filed under: uncultured bacterium
Lineage: Bacteria
Description: bacterial SSU rRNA
Rfam family: Bacterial small subunit ribosomal RNA
Source: RNAcentral